Molecule: ribosomal RNA, 309 nt
Filed under: uncultured Polaribacter sp.
Lineage: Bacteria; Pseudomonadati; Bacteroidota; Flavobacteriia; Flavobacteriales; Flavobacteriaceae
Description: bacterial SSU rRNA
Rfam family: Bacterial small subunit ribosomal RNA
Source: RNAcentral
GAUGAACGCUAGCGGCAGGCUUAACACAUGCAAGUCGAGGGGUAACAUUGUAGCUUGCUACAGAUGACGACCGGCGCACGGGUGCGUAACGCGUAUAGAACCUACCUUUUACUGAGGAAUAGCCUUUAGAAAUGAAGAUUAAUGCCUCAUAGUAUUGAGAUUCGGCAUCGAGUUUUAAUUAAAGAUUUAUUGGUAAAAGAUGGCUAUGCGUCCUAUUAGUUAGAUGGUAAGGUAACGGCUUACCAUGACUUCGAUAGGUAGGGGUCCUGAGAGGGAGAUCCCCCACACUGGUACUGAGACACGGACCAG